Molecule: long non-coding RNA, 869 nt
Filed under: Gossypium raimondii (Peruvian cotton)
Lineage: Eukaryota; Viridiplantae; Streptophyta; Magnoliopsida; Malvales; Malvaceae
Description: long non-coding RNA (GRAI_LNC007920)
Source: RNAcentral
UCAAGUCUUUUAUCAAAAAAUUGUCUCGAAUUUGAAAGAAUGUUCGACUAAUUAAGGGUUUGCCCACUUAAAAAUUGUAACAAAAAUUUAUUGAAAUCCUCUCCGAUACAUCCAUCAUAUCCUAACGUAUAUUGUAAGAGAUUUUACCAUAUAUCCUAAAAAAGAUAAAACAUAUCUUAACACGACAUCCUCACUAAACCCUACUUAACAAAAUGAGUGCUUGUAAGGGGUCGAGGACAGGCCUAACACCGAAUCCACCACCUAUAUAAAACUCCCUCGUCCUCAAAAUAGGCAAUCAAGACACUCCAAUCAAAAAACGGGGAUCUCUUUGUUCUCUAACCUCUUCCUACGGUUCUCAGCACUAGGAUAAGAACCACUCCAAGUCACCUAACCUCAAACCUUGUAUCCACACUAUUCCUACAACAAUCUAGUUCCUCAGUGCUUGUAAUGAUGCCAUGGUCCUUUUGUUUUACCUUUUUCUCGAAAGCGCCAUCAGUGGGGAAGACCAAGAUAAAUUUAUAGGGGUUUGUAAAGAUGAACAAGUAAAUGCUGAAGCAAAGCUUUUUAAAGAUGGAAGAUAAAGCAGUUUCUUAUGCUUUUGAAGACAAAUAUUGGGUAAAAGAGGAACAAAACUUUUUUAAAAGAGAUGCAUUGAAGAAAAUAAUAGUGUUUUCAACUGUGUGGCCAAUGAGUUGGAUGGGGCUAUACAAGGAAAAAGAUGGACAAUGCAGUAAGUUUUUUGUUGGUGAAAGGUACACCUGUAUAUUGAAUCAGAUUCCAACUAUGUGACCUUACAAUGGGAGUCUGCUCAUUUUCCAUGUAUAACAUUCAUUGCCCAACUUAAUAAAGCCAAGCAAUUAAUUCUCCUA